This 253-nucleotide ribosomal RNA is filed under the name uncultured bacterium. Its description in RNAcentral is "partial 16S ribosomal RNA". It matches the Rfam family "Bacterial small subunit ribosomal RNA", at positions 524 to 776 of the family's 1533-position model. The record is from RNAcentral.
UACGGAGGGUGCGAGCGUUGUCCGGAAUCACUGGGCGUAAAGGGCGCGUAGGCGGUCUGCUAAGCGUGCGGUGAAAGCCUGGGGCUCAACCCCAGGUCUGCCGUGCGAACUGGUGGACUAGAGCACUGUAGAGGCAGGUGGAAUUCCGGGUGUAGCGGUGAAAUGCGUAGAUAUCGGGAGGAACACCUGAGGCGAAGGCGGGCUACUGGGCCGAUACUGACGCUGAUGCGCGAAAGCCAGGGGAGCGAACGGG